RNAcentral lists this ribosomal RNA (253 nucleotides) under uncultured bacterium. RNAcentral describes it as "partial 16S ribosomal RNA". It matches the Rfam family "Bacterial small subunit ribosomal RNA", at positions 524 to 776 of the family's 1533-position model. The record is from RNAcentral.
UACGUAGGGGGCAAGCGUUAUCCGGAUUUAUUGGGCGUAAAGAGCUCGUAGGCGGCCGUUCGCGUCGGAUGUGAAAGCUCAGGGCUCAACUCUGAGAUGCCAUUCGAUACAGGACGGCUAGAGGUAGGUAGGGGAAAGUGGAAUUCCUGGUGUAGCGGUGAAAUGCGCAGAUAUCAGGAGGAACACCGGUGGCGAAGGCGGCUUUCUGGGCCUUACCUGACGCUGAGGAGCGAAAGCUGGGGGAGCGAACAGG